RNAcentral lists this ribosomal RNA (440 nucleotides) under uncultured bacterium. RNAcentral describes it as "partial 16S ribosomal RNA". It matches the Rfam family "Bacterial small subunit ribosomal RNA", at positions 338 to 795 of the family's 1533-position model. The record is from RNAcentral.
CCUACGGGUGGCAGCAGUAGGGAAUAUUGCUCAAUGGGGGAAACACUGAAGCAGCAACGCCGCGUGGAGGAUGAAGGUUCUCGGAUUGUAAACUCCUUUUGUUAGAGGAGUUAAUGACGGUAUCUAACGAAUAAUCAACGUCUAACUCCGUGCCAGCAGCCGCGGUAAUACGGAGGGUGCAAGCGUUAUUCGGAAUCACUGGGCGUAAAGAGGGCGUAGGCGGGAUAGCAAGUCAGAUGUGAAAUCCUAUGGCUUAACCAUAGAACUGCAGUUGAAACUGUUAUUCUUGAGUACGGGAGAGGUAGGCGGAAUUCGUGGUGUAGGGGUAAAAUGCGUAGAGAUCAAGAGGAAUACUCAUUGCGAAGGCGACAUGCUAGAACAUAACUGACGCUGAUGCGCGAAAGCGUGGGGAGCAAACAGGAUUAGAUACCCUUGUAGUC